This is a non-coding RNA of Cynocephalus volans (Philippine flying lemur), 74 nucleotides long. NCBI's taxonomy places the organism in Eukaryota, Metazoa, Chordata, Mammalia, Dermoptera, Cynocephalidae. The record is from the annotation of a RefSeq genome assembly.
GGCUGGUUAGCUCAGUUGGUUAGAGCAUGGUGCGGAUAACACCAAGGUCCAAGGUUCGAAACCUUCACUGGCCA